Molecule: long non-coding RNA, 218 nt
Organism: Micropterus salmoides (largemouth bass)
Lineage: Eukaryota; Metazoa; Chordata; Actinopteri; Centrarchiformes; Centrarchidae
Exons: 2
Source: RefSeq, a predicted model, not a curated record
GUACAGUGACUCCUUCAGUAGUUCAGCGCCAGCCGAGCUCACUUCAGGAGGUACUUUUGUAUAUUUGUCUGGCUCUCAGGUGUUUUUAUAGUUCACUUUGGAAAGUUCAUGGUUGGCUUUACCUGUUUUCCACUCUGGACUUUCGCUGUAUGUUUGAGUACGGCAGUGUGGGCGAAGCCUGUUGAAGGACUUGGCACCUGCACACAGUGCCAAAGCUA